GAUGAACGCUGGCGGCGUGCUUAACACAUGCAAGUCGAACGGACAGGCCCUGCUUUUGUGGGGUGCUCGAGUGGCGAACGGGUGAGUAACACGUGAGUAACAUGCCCUUGACUUUGGGAUAAAUCUAGGGAGCUGGGGCUCAUACCGCGUAGGAGCUCCUGAUGCAUGGUGGGGGUUGGAAAGUUUCGGUGGUUGGGGCUGGACUGGCGGCUUAUCAGUUUGUUGGUGGGGUAGUUGCUUACCAAGGUUUUGACGGGUAGCCGGCAUGAGAGGUGGACCGGCCACAUUGGGACUGAGAUACGGCCCAGACUCCUACGGGAGGCAGCAGGGGGGAAUAUUGCACAAUGGGCGGAAGCGUGAUGCAGCAACGCCGCGUGCGUGAUGACGGCCUUCGGGUUGUAAACCGCUGUCGCCUGAGACGAAGCGUGAGUGACGGUAAUGGGUAAAGAAGCACCGGCUAACUACGUG
Molecule: ribosomal RNA, 468 nt
Filed under: uncultured bacterium
Lineage: Bacteria
Description: partial 16S ribosomal RNA
Rfam family: Bacterial small subunit ribosomal RNA
Source: RNAcentral